RNAcentral lists this ribosomal RNA (441 nucleotides) under uncultured bacterium. Its description in RNAcentral is "partial 16S ribosomal RNA". It matches the Rfam family "Bacterial small subunit ribosomal RNA", at positions 338 to 795 of the family's 1533-position model. The record is from RNAcentral.
CCUACGGGUGGCAGCAGUGGGGAAUAUUGCACAAUGGGGGAAACCCUGAUGCAGCAAAGCCGCGUGAAGGAAGACGGUUCUAGGAUUGUUAAACUCCGUUCUUCGUGAAGAAGAAUGACGGUAGCGAAGGAGCACGCCACGGCUAACUACGGGCCAGACGCCGCGGUACUACGCAGGUGGCAAGCGUUGUCCGGAAUUACUGGGUGUAAAGGGAGCGCAGGCGGGAAGCCAAGUCAGCUGUGAAAACUACGGGCUUAACUUGUAGACUGCAGUUGAAACUGGUUUUCUUGAGUGAAGUAGAGGUAGGCGGAAUGCGGAGUGUAGCGGUGAAAUGCGUAGAUAUUCGGAGGAACACCGGUGGCGAAGGCAGCCAACUGGGCUUUAACUGACGCUGAGGCUCGAAAGUGUGGGGAGCGAACAGGAUUAGAUACCCUUGUAGUC